RNAcentral lists this ribosomal RNA (748 nucleotides) under uncultured delta proteobacterium. Its description in RNAcentral is "bacterial SSU rRNA". It matches the Rfam family "Bacterial small subunit ribosomal RNA", at positions 8 to 727 of the family's 1533-position model. Lineage: Bacteria; Deltaproteobacteria. The record is from RNAcentral.
AGAGUUUGAUCCUGGCUCAGAAUGAACGCUGGCGGCGUGCUUAACACAUGCAAGUCGCACGAGAACGCUUCAGCUUGCUGGAGCUAGUAAAGUGGCGUACGGGUGAGUAACGCGUGGGUAAUCUAUCUCUGAAUUGGGGAUAACAUUGCGAAAGCGAUGCUAAUACCGGAUAAAAUCCAUUAGACCCCGGUUUUUUUGGAUCAAAGGUGGCCUCUACAUGUAAGCUACUGUUUGGAGACGAGCUCGCGUACCAUUAGCUCGUUGGUAGGGUAAUGGCCUACCAAGGCAACGAUGGUUAGCUGGUCUGAGAGGACGAUCAGCCACACUGGAACUGACACACGGUCCAGACUCCUACGGGAGGCAGCAGUGAGGAAUUUUGCGCAAUGGGGGAAACCCUGACGCAGCAACGCCGCGUGAGUGAUGAAGGCUUUCGGGUCGUAAAGCUCCGUCAAGUGGGAAGAACCCGUGCCGUACAAAUAGUGCGGUGCGCUGACGGUACCACUGAAGGAAGCACCGGCUAACUCCGUGCCAGCAGCCGCGGUAAUACGGGGGGUGCAAGCGUUAUUCGGAAUCAUUGGGCGUAAAGAGCGCGUAGGCGGUCUUCUAUGUCAGGUGUGAAAGCCCGGGGCUCAACCCCGGAAGUGCAUUUGAAACUGGGAGACUUGAGUAUGGGAGAGGGAAGUGGAAUUCCUGGUGUAGCGGUGAAAUGCGUAGAUAUCAGGAGGAACACCGGUGGCGAAGGCGACUU